CCAGCUCCAAUAGCGUAUAUUAAAGUUGUUGCAGUUAAAAAGCUCGUAGUUGGAUUUCUGUUUUGGAUGUCCGGUCGGCUCCUUCUGGGAGGUUGUACUUAUGGAUGUUCGAGGCAUUUUUUGUGAGGUCGUUUUUCUGCCAUUAAGUUGGUGGUCUUUCGGUCUUGCAUCGUUUACUGUGAAAAAAUUAGAGUGUUUAAAGCAGGCGUUUGCUCAUUUGAAUACAUUAGCAUGGAAUAAUAAGAUACGGCCUUGGUGGUCUAUUUUGUUGGUUUGCACACCAGGGUAAUGAUUAAUAGGGACAGUUGGGGGUAUUCAUAUUUCAGCGUCAGAGGUGAAAUUCUUGGAUCGCUGAAAGAUGAGCUUAGGCGAAAGCAUUUACCAAGGAUGUUUUCA
Molecule: ribosomal RNA, 396 nt
Filed under: uncultured Phytophthora
Lineage: Eukaryota; Oomycota; Peronosporomycetes; Peronosporales; Peronosporaceae
Description: SSU rRNA
Rfam family: Eukaryotic small subunit ribosomal RNA
Source: RNAcentral